UGUGUCACAUGCGGGUAGGUGACGGUGCGGGGCUGGCGCUGUGGGCCCCUAGGCUAGUUGUCUCUCCCGCCGCGGAUCAACAGUGGCGCUGUGGCUGUUUGGCGGCAGUUUACAUGCGGAUUCCAGGGAACUUUCCACCGCAAAUCUGUUCCCGCUCAAGACAUGGGUUGAGAGUGAAGAAAAUCGACGGAGGUGAUGUGGCAGUGUAACGGAGUAUAUUAAUAUAUAUACAGUAUACUGGGAUAUAUACAGUAUACUGGGAUAUAUACAGUAUACUGGGAUAUACACAGUAAAAGUAUACAAAAUUGAACUCCCCGCCUGAAGUUGUGGGAUGAAGUGAACUCUAUUGCUGAAGUGUGUGAUAAGUGAACGUCUGGCGCCUCACAAAGACUGAAAGUUGAGUCAGAGUGAACUGUUUGACCUGAGGGCGGUGCAUCAGUCGAGUGUUAAGGUGGUCCUCAACUCCCCUGAUGUGGUCCUUCACGCCCGGGGAGGAGUGGGUGAGGUCAUCCUUCUGUGAUUAAAGGAAUCCCACACGAACAGGAGGACCGUUUGGAAAGUUGAGACAGGAGGAGGUUGCUCAGGGAAGAGGUGGCCAAAAAAGGGUUGGCCCAGAAGGAGGUGGCCCAGAAGGAGGUGGCCCUGAAAUAGGUGGCCCAGAAAUAAGUGGCCAAGGAGGGGGUUAACGUGCCUCCUGCUGGCCUCAUCACACACCACGAUCUCCUUCAUCCGUCGCAAGUUACUCGGCCUGUGGGACCCAGG
Molecule: long non-coding RNA, 762 nt
Organism: Homarus americanus (American lobster)
Lineage: Eukaryota; Metazoa; Arthropoda; Malacostraca; Decapoda; Nephropidae
Exons: 2
Source: RefSeq, a predicted model, not a curated record